Molecule: long non-coding RNA, 1814 nt
Organism: Hipposideros armiger (great roundleaf bat)
Lineage: Eukaryota; Metazoa; Chordata; Mammalia; Chiroptera; Hipposideridae
Exons: 2
Source: RefSeq, a predicted model, not a curated record
UGAGUUGCUGAAGGACUGACUGCAGCCAGCACAAAGGACAACCUGCUGUACCCUCUAGCCUGAGGUGUCCUCUGGAGGGGACGUGAGAAGAGCCAGGCAGGGCUUCUGUGAGCCAAGGCAGCAGAAUCCAUGUCUCUUCCUGACCUUCCCUGGAUUCAGCUAAAGAUUUGGCUUUCAUUUUCUUGGUGAAUGAACGACUCAGCAAAAAUACAAAGUGAAAGCUAAAAGUCUAAACAGACUUUUGAAACUCCUGGCAGAGAUGGUAAUUCAAGGCAAGAAGAAAAGCUUCAGAGGUUUAAAAGCCUAACUUUUGGACUUUCAAAAGCAUAGCUCUUAAGGGGACUCAGGGCACAGAGAACAUAUGAUGAGUUAAAAAAAACAAAUGACAACAGGCAAACAGGGAAAAGCUAGUCUAGAGUGGAAGUCAAGGUGGUAAAGGAAGUACUCGAGAGAAGUGGGUCUUUGAGGAGGAUUCCCGGGCCCAGCAUUCCUUGGGUCAAGGCUGGUGAGGAAUGAUGGUGUCCCUUGUAGGUUUGGGGAACUGAGAACAGAGGGGGACCUGUGCCUCUCUUUCUUGGGGUGAGCCCAAGAAAGGGUCCAAUACAGUAUGGAACAUGAAGGUCCACAGACAAACCCUCUGAGUUUUUCAAAGCCGAGGGUAGUAUGAGACCUUCAGACAGGAUCUUAUGCUUCUGAGAGUGGCCUGGAUGAGACACAGGGAGAAAGCCAUAGGAGGAACCAGAACAACAUGGCAGAGGACAGUGAGGGUGGGGACCUCUCUGUGAUACCAGCAUAGUAGAUGAUGACCUGGAGGACACAGUGACCCCUUCCCCUGACCUAUCGGGAACCUUGAGGAAAUGAGAAUCUACAGGGAUCCUGAAAUUCCCGAGAUGAAAUUUCUGCCAUUGAGCAUACUGGAGCUGAAGAGGGAACUUAAGCUUAAUCACAGAAAAGGAAAGAAAGUUACAUUGUGGGCACAUUUUAGCUGCUAUUUAUAUGCAUUACACAUAGAAAGACAUUCCCCAAACUAUAAUUAUGAGGUGACAGACAUUUUCUGGCUCUUGACUGUGGCCUGGGAAGUGUAUUGAUGGUCGCUUUUACGGAGCUCCCUGCAAGGGUCCCCUGUACCUGGAAUACUGGGUGAGGAACUGGUCGCUGUGUUUCAAGAAGGACCUACUGUUUCAGGGAAGAUUCAGGAUGGCCAGUUCUGAGAGGAGCAGGGACCUUGGCAGGGACAGAGCUGACACGCAGUACAGCUGUGCAGUCGUGACUGUGGCCGAGAAUGCACACUGCUGAUAGAAAAUUUAACCAGAGCCGGCAAGGGUGGGAGCUGGGCCCCAUGGAUUGUUCGUGAAGUCCUGGAGACUAUAGUAUAUAAACUAGGCCAACUCAAUGGGAUUGGAGAGAAGAAAAGAUAGCACAGCUCACAGAGGAUAAUAUAUCUCAGGGCCUGUUAGCCCUGUGAGAAUACACAGGUUGGAAAUACAGAUAUUUUAAAGAAGCGAUUAGUUUAGGGUGUCUUAACCUUGGCAUUAUUGGCAUUUUAAGUCAGGUAAUUCUUUGUUAUGGAGGAGAGGACUGUCCUGUACAUUGUACCAUGUUUAGCAGCAUCCCUGGCCUCUGUACUCAUUAACUGACAGGAGCACCCUGCCCCCGCCCCACCCCAGUUGUGAUAGCCAAUAAUGUGUUCAGAUAUUGCCAUAUGUCUUUGGGCGGGUAAAAUCACCCACAAUGGAGAACAUUGGUUUACUUUAAUGUUCCCAAAUGAUGGAUCGAUCACAGAAUAGGGGUUGUGCAAAAAAAAAAAAAAAAAA